UGGGGAAUAUUGCGCAAUGGGGGGAACCCUGACGCAGCCAUGCCGCGUGAAUGAAGAAGGCCUUCGGGUUGUAAAGUUCUUUCGGUAUUGAGGAAGGUUGAUGUGUUAAUAGCACAUCAAAUUGACGUUAAAUACAGAAGAAGCACCGGCUAACUCCGUGCCAGCAGCCGCGGUAAUACGGAGGGUGCGAGCGUUAAUCGGAAUAACUGGGCGUAAAGGGCACGCAGGCGGUUAUUUAAGUGAGGUGUGAAAGCCCUGGGCUUAACCUAGGAAUUGCAUUUCAGACUGGGUAACUAGAGUACUUUAGGGAGGGGUAGAAUUCCACGUGUAGCGGUGAAAUGCGUAGAGAUGUGGAGGAAUACCGAAGGCGAAGGCAGCCCCUUGGGAAUGUACUGACGCUCAUGUGCGAAAGCGUGGGGAGCAAACAGGAUUAGAUACCCUGGUAGUCCACGCUGUAAACGCUGUCGAUUUGGGGGUUGGGGUUUAACUCUGGCGCCCGUAGCUAACGUGAUAAAUCGACCGCCUGGGGAGUACGGCCGCAAGGUUAA
This 548-nucleotide ribosomal RNA is filed under the name uncultured bacterium. RNAcentral describes it as "bacterial SSU rRNA". It matches the Rfam family "Bacterial small subunit ribosomal RNA", at positions 355 to 897 of the family's 1533-position model. The record is from RNAcentral.